This is an RNA transcript of Vigna angularis (adzuki bean), 1328 nucleotides long. It is a transcript of the gene named protein NEGATIVE GRAVITROPIC RESPONSE OF ROOTS, with no coding region annotated. The record is from RefSeq and is a predicted model, not a curated record. The transcript is spliced from 6 exons. Lineage: Eukaryota; Viridiplantae; Streptophyta; Magnoliopsida; Fabales; Fabaceae.
CUUUAAUUUCUUCUCACCUUAUAUAUUUUUUUCCUAAACUUGCUGCUUCCAUUCUCUAAGCCCAUUCAUUCCCUCUGCUCUCAUAAUGAAGUUCCUCAGCUGGAUGCAAACUAAAAUUGGUGGAAAACAAGAUAACAGAAAACCAGACACUCAUACAACUACUACUUACGAUGGAAAACAAGAGAGUCGAGAAGAGUUCAGCGAUUGGCCUGAUGGUUUGCUCGCAAUUGGUACAUUUGGAAAUAACAAGGAAGCACUAGAGAAGCGAAUAGAGGAACCAUCCUCCUCUGAGCAAAUUCCUGACUUCACUCCUGAAGAAAUUGGGAAGCUACAAAAAGAGCUCACUAAACUGUUGAGACAAAAACCCAAAGUGGAAAAGGAAAUCUCCCACCUUCCUCUCGACAGAUUCCUCAAUUGUCCAUCAAGCUUGGAGGUUGAUCGGAGAAUCAGCAACGUACUUUGCUCUGAUUCUGAAAAUAAAGAUGGCGACAACGAAGAAGAAAAACAAGAACGAGAAGAAGAAGAUGAUGAUGAAGAAGAAGACAUUGAGAAGACUCUUGGUGUCAUACUUGGUAAAUUCAAAGAGAUUUGUGCAAAAAACAGUAAGAAAGCAAUUGGGAAGAAAUCGAUUUCGUUUUUGCUGAAGAAGAUGUUCGUUUGUAGAAGUGGUUUUUCCCCAACACCCAGCCUUAGAGAUACCCUUCAACUACAGGAGUCAAGAAUGGAGAAGCUUUUGAGGAUGAUUCUUCACAAGAAAAUAAACUCCCAGCAUUCUUCUCGUGCACUGUCCCUGAAGAAGCGACUGGAAGACAGGAGGAAGAUGCCGAUGGAGGAGGAAGCAGAGGCUGAAACUGAUGAUGGCGGUAAAUGGGUCAAGACUGAUUCUGAAUAUAUUGUUUUAGAGAUUUAACAAAUCCUCCUCAAUUUUUAACCGCUCUUUCUUUGCGUCUCUGUCAGGUAAGAUUAAAUCAAGAAGCAAGGAGAUUAUACAAAGCAUUACGAGGGAGCAUGAAAUGAAGCUAUUUUUUUUGUGAGAGUUUAUCUGUGAUCUUGCACUGGCCUGAGUGGCUCGGAUCAUCAGUGUCAAUCUCUCUGUUCUGUCAACAGCUACCGCUUCCCUUUGUUUUUGUUUUUUUUUUUCAUGGUUGUUUCUGACUAUGCAGAGCAACUCAUGUUAUACUUAAUCGUAAACACCAUAACUCCUAUCAACACCAAUGGCCAAACCUACACAUUCUGAACCCACUCUCUUAUCUGCUAAUUUCUUAUCUACUAUCCUUGUAAUAUCACUGCCACUCAAUAAUAUUCACAACAUGGGCUAGUAAAAUACA